GUACUUCUGAGGAGUCCCAAACUAGGACGAAAUAGCUGUCCAGUAC
Molecule: non-coding RNA, 46 nt
Filed under: Trichobilharzia regenti
Lineage: Eukaryota; Metazoa; Platyhelminthes; Trematoda; Strigeidida; Schistosomatidae
Source: RNAcentral